UACGGAGGGGGCAAGCGUUAUUCGGAUUUACUGGGCGUAAAGGGCGUGUAGGCGGCUUGAUAGGUCAAAGGUGAAAGCCCUCGGCUCAACCGAGGAACUGCCUUUGAAACCAUCUGGCUCGAGGCCGGGAGGGGGUAGUGGAAUUCCUGGUGUAGCGGUGAAAUGCGUAGAUAUCAGGAGGAACACCGGUGGCGAAGGCGGCUACCUGGACCGGUUCUGACGCUGAGGCGCGAAAGCGUGGGGAGCAAACAGG
RNAcentral lists this ribosomal RNA (253 nucleotides) under uncultured prokaryote. RNAcentral describes it as "partial 16S ribosomal RNA". It matches the Rfam family "Bacterial small subunit ribosomal RNA", at positions 524 to 776 of the family's 1533-position model. The record is from RNAcentral.